Long non-coding RNA from Bombyx mori (domestic silkworm), 1677 nucleotides. RefSeq lists it as uncharacterized. The transcript has 3 exons. Lineage: Eukaryota; Metazoa; Arthropoda; Insecta; Lepidoptera; Bombycidae. The record is from RefSeq and is a predicted model, not a curated record.
GCCGUGCGAUUCUCUAAAAUUCAAACAAGAACUCGCAUCUCACUACGAAAUUCUCCAUCACUUCGCAUUCGCAAUAGAAUGACCUUGAUUUGGCAUUCUGUAAACACUAAUCUUAAUUACCCUGCCUCGAGCGAAGUGAAGUGACAACGAAGUUUGUUUAUAAUAUACUAGGGAUAGCCGUAUACGCGCAAAUGUAAAUCGAAGCUUACCGGUUUCAGUUUUUCGUUGUAUUUAUAAGCAUUCUGUAAGAAAAUACUAUGAAUUUAAGCUUUGGUGUCUAAGCCACAUCUAAUAUAUCUAAAAAGAAAAUUAAAAGUCAUAUAUUUAUGAAAUUAAUUGUAAUUUCUGUAUGUACGCUAAGUUCCUUUGCGUGCACUGGCGAAUACCAGAAUUAAAAAACAAAAUUUUAAUUGUUUUCAAAACAAUCUCAAGCAGUCGGAAGUUUUUAUUUUGCUUUUUCUAGAUUUUUUGUUACUUUGUGAGUGAAUUUAACGUUAAAUAAAAAUUAUGAGGUAAGUAAAAGUUAGUUAUGAGGCUAUCAAUGGUUCAUCCAUUUGUUUUUUAAUCUAAAAUUUCAAUAUUUUACCAACAGACUUAACGAGCGUUCUUCUCAUCCGACAUUGGUGCAAAUAGAGGCAUUGAUAGACGUUUUGGAUUAAAAUGUAGCGAAACAAAAGGUUUAAUCGUAUCUCAACAUGUUCAAUAAGAUAACAAGGAUAUUAAAAAAUAUAGGAACUAAAUUAUCUUGUCAGAUAUGAUCCAUUCCCGGAGAGAUAUUUAGGACAUGUUAACAUCUAUUUAUGUAUGAUAAAUCUAUCUACUACGUUUUUAUUGAUAUUUUAUUUUAACAGGGAAUAUCGGUAAUUUAUCUGUAUCUCAAAUUCACCAACAAAAAAAAAAUAUAUUGAAUUAAAUAAAUCAAAUCAUUAACAAUUUAGGUAUUUGCAAUACCUGUUGGAUUGAUGUUGUUGGAAUGUUAUUAUUGAUGCAGAGGUGACUGUAUCUAUGGUAAAGGGUGUGCACACCGGUACAGGGGUGGCAGGAAGUGCCAGAGUAUUGACUAAAUUGACAUUAUGUAGGCUAAAGACUGCAUACUCCGUUUAAAAUCAAUGAACAAAAUUUUGCCAUAACUUACUUUAUUAUAUUUAAGGAACUACAACAGAUUGAAAAUACUAAUCCACAUUAUCAGAAUAUUGUAAGGAGAAUUCAUUGCCAACUCGGAAAAUGUAUCAGUAUUGGAACAAUCCCAAACAUCCUACAGCAUUGCAUCAAGAAUCACCUAUUUUGCAGUCAUCCUCCCCUAACUAAAUGCAAGUGACUUCUACUUAUUGUGAUGCUACUACUAGUAGCUCCAGCCACAGUAGGUCUCAUGUUAGUCAAGAGAUUGGGUUGUUAGCACCUCAACACCUGACCUGCUAUUUCACCACUUUUCAAUGAAAAGCAGAGUGUACUCAAAUUACAACAAAUUACACAGUACCAGGAUAUAUAACUUAAACAACCAUGGGGGAAUAAAUAGUCGACAGUCUGCAAGAAGGAUGAACUGUUGGUGGAAUUAGCAUAUGCAGCUAGGAAUUUUAAACCUGUAUUUCCACAUAUUACUGAUGCAAACAAAUUUCAAAAUUAUUGUAUAUAACUAUUGAAUAAAACUAUAAUAAAACUAUUUUUAUAAAUCAUUAA